UAACACGUGGAUAACCUACCUAUAAGACUGUGAUAACUUCGGGAAACCGGAGCUAAUACCGGAUGAUAUUUUGAACCGCAUGGUUCAAAAGUGAAAGACGGUCUUGCUGUCACUUAUAGAUGGAUCCGCGCUGCAUUAGCUAGUUGGUAAGGUAACGGCUUACCAAGGCAACGAUGCAUAGCCGACCUGAGAGGGUGAUCGGCCACACUGGAACUGAGACACGGUCCAG
This 229-nucleotide ribosomal RNA is filed under the name uncultured Staphylococcus sp. RNAcentral's name for it is "partial 16S ribosomal RNA". It matches the Rfam family "Bacterial small subunit ribosomal RNA", at positions 111 to 334 of the family's 1533-position model. The record is from RNAcentral. Lineage: Bacteria; Bacillati; Bacillota; Bacilli; Caryophanales; Staphylococcaceae.